This is a non-coding RNA of Pelobates cultripes (western spadefoot toad), 664 nucleotides long. The record is from the annotation of a GenBank genome assembly. Lineage: Eukaryota; Metazoa; Chordata; Amphibia; Anura; Pelobatidae.
CCCAUGGCUGUCUACAGACACAGAGACCCGGAAGGUACACUAUGUCACACAGUAACGUUACAGCCACCAGUACAGGGGAGACAUCAACAGAGCGAGGCAGGUGAGCGGAGAUAGAGGCUUGCUGCACUCAGCCGCUCGUCACAGCGCCACCCGUGGCUCGGAGGUACAAAAUUCAUGCUGACGUCUCAACGAGUUAUCAGGAGGGGGGGCGGAGCCUUCCAUUCCGAACGGUUCCGGAAACAUCCGACGAGAGCCGAGCAUCCCCAACCAAAAUGGCGGCGGCGGCUGUGGUGGAGGUGAUGAUGAUGGGUCGGCAGUGAGUGACUCUGCUUGUGGCCGCCGCAGACACCAGUGCCGAGCGGGGACUCGCCGGGCUCUCUCUAGUUUUCGUUUUAAUUUUUUUUAUUUUCUCCCCCGAGGUGUUUUACCACAGAGGAAGCCCCCCCGCCCCCCCCCGGGUGUAUCUAACCGUCUGUCUCCGGGCCUCGCAGCUCCACAGACACCGGCUGGCACUCAGCCGCACUCAGCGCCAUCCAUGCUCAGGAAGCGGCGGCCCUGUAUGAACGAUGUGUGAGAUCUGCACGGACCUGGUGGAGGUGUUAAACGAGAGUAAGUCCCGGCUCGGACCGGCCCGGGGAGGGGUCCUGGAGGGAGGGAGGGAGGG